AAGUCGUAACAAGGUUUCCGUAGGUGAACCUGCGGAAGGAUCAUUAUCAAUGAAUCUCUUCAUUACACCGUGCACUGGACUUUGGGCAGCAAUGCCCAUUGUAACACACAACACUAUACUUUUAUAGCAGAGUCAAUUAGGAAACUAAUAAUGACAACUUUUAGCAACGGAUCUCUAGGUUCUC
RNAcentral lists this unclassified non-coding RNA (184 nucleotides) under fungal sp. RNAcentral's name for it is "partial internal transcribed spacer region". The stretch from base 1 to 46 matches the Rfam family "Eukaryotic small subunit ribosomal RNA", at positions 1786 to 1831 of the family's 1831-position model. The record is from RNAcentral. Lineage: Eukaryota; Fungi.